This 253-nucleotide ribosomal RNA is filed under the name uncultured bacterium. RNAcentral's name for it is "partial 16S ribosomal RNA". It matches the Rfam family "Bacterial small subunit ribosomal RNA", at positions 524 to 776 of the family's 1533-position model. The record is from RNAcentral.
CACGUAGGGCGCGAGCGUUGUCCGGAAUUAUUGGGCGUAAAGAGCUCGUAGGCGGUUUGUUGCGUCGGCUGUGAAAUCCCGAGGCUCAACCUCGGGUCUGCAGUCGAUACGAGCAAACUAGAGUGUUGCAGGGGAGACUGGAAUUCCUGGUGUAGCGGUGAAAUGCGCAGAUAUCAGGAGGAACACCGGUGGCGAAGGCGGGUCUCUGGGCAUCAACUGACGCUGAGGAGCGAAAGCGUGGGGAGCGAACAGG